GAUGAAGAACGCAGUGAAAUGCGAUAAGUAAUGUGAAUUGCAGAAUUCAGUGAAUCAUCGAAUCUUUGAACGCACAUUGCGCCCGCCAGUAUUCUGGCGGGCAUGCCUGUUCGAGCGUCAUUUCAACCCUCGACCUCCCCUUGGGGAGGUCGGCGUUGGGGACCGGCAGCACACCGCCGGCCCUGAAAUGGAGUGGCGGCCCGUCCGCGGCGACCUCUGCGCAGUAAUACAGCUCGCACCGGGACCCCGACGCGGCCACGCCGUAAAACACCCAACUUCUGAACGUUGACCUCGAAUCAGGUAGGACUACCCGCUGAACUUAAGCAUAUCAAUAAGCGGAGGA
Molecule: unclassified non-coding RNA, 343 nt
Filed under: soil metagenome
Description: partial contains 5.8S ribosomal RNA, internal transcribed spacer 2, and large subunit ribosomal RNA
Rfam family: 5.8S ribosomal RNA (bases 1-120)
Source: RNAcentral